CCUACGGGAGGCAGCAGUGGGGAAUUUUGCGCAAUGGACGGAAGUCUGACGCAGCAACGCCGCGUGGGUGAUGAAGGUCUUCGGAUUGUAAAACCCUGUCGCCAGGGACGAAGGUGCGCUCGUGAAUAGCGGGUGUGCUUGACGGUACCUGGAAAGGAAGCCCCGGCUAACUCUGUGCCAGCAGCCGCGGUAAUACAGAGGGGGCAAGCGUUAUUCGGAAUUAUUGGGCGUAAAGGGUUCGUAGGCGGUGCGGUAAGUCGGAAGUGAAAUCUCUGGGCUUAACUCAGAGGCUGCUUUCGAAACUGCCGUGCUAGAGUGCGGGAGAGGCGAGUGGAAUUACAGGUGUAGCGGUGAAAUGCGUAGAUAUCUGUAGGAACACCCGUGGCGAAAGCGGCGCGCUGGACCACUACUGACGCUGAGGAACGAAAGCUAGGGGAGCAAACAGGAUUAGAUACCCUGGUAGUCCUAGCCCUAAACGAUCAGGACUUGGGGUGCCGCACGUUCGUGCGUCGUCCCGGAGCUAACGCGUUAAGUCCUGCACCUGGGGAGUACGGUCGCAAGACUGAAACUCAAAGGAAUUGACGG
Molecule: ribosomal RNA, 585 nt
Filed under: uncultured bacterium
Lineage: Bacteria
Description: bacterial SSU rRNA
Rfam family: Bacterial small subunit ribosomal RNA
Source: RNAcentral